AGGAAGUAAAAGUCGUAACAAGGUCUCCGUUGGUGAACCAGCGGAGGGAUCAUUACCGAGUUUACAACUCCCAAACCCCUGUGAACAUACCUUAAUGUUGCCUCGGCGGAUCAGCCCGCGCCCCGUAAAACGGGACGGCCCGCCAGAGGACCCAAACUCUAAUGUUUCUUAUUGUAACUUCUGAGUAAAACAAACAAAUAAAUCAAAACUUUCAACAACGGAUCUCUUGGUUCUGGCAUCGAUGAAGAACGCAGCAAAAUGCGAUAAGUAAUGUGAAUUGCAGAAUUCAGUGAAUCAUCGAAUCUUUGAACGCACAUUGCGCCCGCUGGUAUUCCGGCGGGCAUGCCUGUUCGAGCGUCAUUUCAACCCUCAAGCCCCCGGGUUUGGUGUUGGGGAUCGGCUCUGCCUUCUGGCGGUGCCGCCCCCGAAAUACAUUGGCGGUCUCGCUGCAGCCUCCAUUGCGUAGUAGCUAACACCUCGCAACUGGAACGCGGCGCGGCCAUGCCGUAAAAC
This 513-nucleotide unclassified non-coding RNA is filed under the name Fusarium sp. MK2-2020. RNAcentral describes it as "sequence contains 18S rRNA gene, ITS1, 5.8S rRNA gene, ITS2, 28S rRNA gene". The stretch from base 207 to 360 matches the Rfam family "5.8S ribosomal RNA". Lineage: Eukaryota; Fungi; Ascomycota; Sordariomycetes; Hypocreales; Nectriaceae. The record is from RNAcentral.